Molecule: long non-coding RNA, 989 nt
Filed under: Brassica napus (rape)
Lineage: Eukaryota; Viridiplantae; Streptophyta; Magnoliopsida; Brassicales; Brassicaceae
Description: long non-coding RNA (BNAP_LNC023492)
Source: RNAcentral
AAUGCUAUUUUGGUCAUUUUAGUUUUUGAGUGCUAUUUUUGCGAUAUAAACUUAGAAAGAUGCUAUUUUGGAGAUUUGCCAAUAAAUUAAAUUAUAAACAUAUAUUAAAGGGCAAAUCUCCAAAAUAGCACAUUUCUAAGUUUAUAUCACAAAAAUGGCACUCAAAAACUAAAAUGACCAAAAUAGCACAUUUCUAAGUUUAUCCUUUGAAAAUUUUAAUUUUUUUAUUUUUCCAAAUUUGAAAUCUUAUCCCCAAAACCUCAUUUCUCAACUCUAAACCCUAAACCCUAAACUCUAAACCUUAAACCCUAAACUUUAAACCCUAAGCCCUAAACCAUAAACCCUAAACCCUAAACUCUAAACCCUAAAAUCUAAACCUUAAACCCUAAACUAUAAACCCUAAACCCUAAAUCCUAAACCCCACCCUUUAACUCUAAAUCCUAAGUUUGUGAUUUUUGAUAAAACAUUAAGUGCUAUUUUUGUGACUUUUGACCUUGAGUGCUAGUUUGGGAACAUAAACUUAAUUUAGUGCUAUUUUUGUCUUUUUCUCUUUAUUAAAGGGCAAAUCUCCAAAAUAGCACAUUUCUAAGUUUAUAUCACAAAAAUAGCACUCAAAACUAAAAUGACCAAAAUAGCACAUUUCUAAGUUUAUCAUUUGAAAAUUUUAAUUUUUAUAUUUUCCAAAAUUUGAAAUCUUAUCCCCAAAACAUCAUUUCUAAACUCUAAACCCUAAACCCUAAACUCUAAACCCUAAACUCUAAGCCCUAAACCUUAAACCAUAAACCCUAAACCCUAAACCCUAAACCCUAAACCCUAAAUCUAAACCCUAAAAUCUAAACCUUAAACCCUAAACUCUAAACCCUAAACCCUAAACCCUAAAUCUAAACCCUAAAAUCUAAACCUUAAACCCUAAACUCUAAACCCUAAACCCUAAACCCUAAAUCCUAAACCCCACCCUUUAAAUCUAAACCCUAAGUUUGUGACUUUUG